AAGGGCUUCCGGCCCCGGUAAAGUGGCGCACGGGUGAGUAACACGUGGGUAACCUUCCCUAGAGCGGGGGAUAACAUUCCGAAAGGAGUGCUAAUACCGCAUAAGACCACGUCUUCGAAAGAGGACGAGGUAAAAGCAGGCCUCUGUACACAAGCUUGCACUCUAGGACGGGCCCGCGGCCCAUCAGCUAGUUGGCAGGGUAACGGCCUACCAAGGCGAAGACGGGUAGCUGGUCUGAGAGGAUGAUCAGCCACACUGGAACUGAGACACGGUCCAGACUCCUACGGGAGGCAGCAGUGGGGAAUCUUGCGCAAUGGACGAAAGUCUGACGCAGCGACGCCGCGUGGGUGAUGAAGGCCUUCGGGUUGUAAAGCCCUGUGGGGAGAGACGAAUAAGUCGUAGCUAAUACCUCCGGCGAUGACGGUAUCUCCUUAGCAAGCACCGGCUAACUCUGUGCCA
This 459-nucleotide ribosomal RNA is filed under the name uncultured bacterium. RNAcentral describes it as "bacterial SSU rRNA". It matches the Rfam family "Bacterial small subunit ribosomal RNA", at positions 72 to 510 of the family's 1533-position model. The record is from RNAcentral.